UAAAAAGUUACUCAAGCGCACACAAUGGAUGCCUUGACGUAAGAUACCGAUGAAGGACGUAGAAAACUGCGAUAAGCUUCGGGGAGCUGUUAAUCAAGCUUUGAACCGAAGAUUUCCGAAUGGGGAAACCUUUAUAGAGUAAUGUCUAUAAGCGCCAGCCUGAAUAUAUAGGGCAGGAGAGCGGUAACCGGGGGAACUGAAACAUCUUAGUACCUCGAGGAAGAGAAAAUAACCAAUGAUUCCGCUAGUAGUGGCGAGCGAACGUGGAAGAGCCCAAACCUUUUAGGUUUUUGCCUGGUAAUUUAUUACUAGGUAAAUAAGUUGACAGACGAAUAUCUAAA
This 341-nucleotide ribosomal RNA is filed under the name Candidatus Saccharimonadota bacterium. Its description in RNAcentral is "partial 23S ribosomal RNA". It matches the Rfam family "Bacterial large subunit ribosomal RNA", at positions 1 to 337 of the family's 2925-position model. The record is from RNAcentral. Lineage: Bacteria; Candidatus Saccharimonadota.